Molecule: non-coding RNA, 97 nt
Organism: Acanthosepion pharaonis
Lineage: Eukaryota; Metazoa; Mollusca; Cephalopoda; Sepiida; Sepiidae
Source: the annotation of a GenBank genome assembly
CGUUGAAACACUGAUUCCCGUGCGAUCACGGAAGUUAAGCAACGUCGAGCCUGGUCAGUACCUAGAUGGGUAACCGCUGGGGAUUAUCAGGUGCUAU